This 252-nucleotide ribosomal RNA is filed under the name uncultured bacterium. RNAcentral describes it as "partial 16S ribosomal RNA". It matches the Rfam family "Bacterial small subunit ribosomal RNA", at positions 525 to 776 of the family's 1533-position model. The record is from RNAcentral.
ACGGAGGGGGCUAGCGUUGUUCGGAUUUACUGGGCGUAAAGCGCACGUAGGCGGCAUAUUAAGUUAGAGGUGAAAGGCCUGGGCUCAACCUAGGAACUGCCUUUGAUACUGGUAUGCUUGAGUUCGGAAGAGGGUAGUGGAAUUCCAAGUGUAGAGGUGAAAUUCGUAGAUAUUUGGAAGAACACCGGUGGCGAAGGCGGCUACCUGGUCCGAUACUGACGCUGAGGUGCGAAAGCGUGGGGAGCAAACAGG